Molecule: ribosomal RNA, 228 nt
Filed under: uncultured bacterium
Lineage: Bacteria
Description: partial 16S ribosomal RNA
Rfam family: Bacterial small subunit ribosomal RNA
Source: RNAcentral
CUUAUAGUGGGGGAGUAGCCUUUCGAAAGGAAGAUUAAUACCGCAUAAGAUUGUAGUAUCGCAUGAUAUAGCAAUUAAAGGAGCAAUUCGCUAUAAGAUGGACCCGCGUCGCAUUAGCUAGUUGGUGAGGUAAUGGCUCACCAAGGCGACGAUGCGUAGCCGACCUGAGAGGGUGAUCGGCCACAUUGGGACUGAGACACGGCCCAGACUCCUACGGGAGGCAGCAUG